Molecule: ribosomal RNA, 561 nt
Filed under: uncultured bacterium
Lineage: Bacteria
Description: partial 16S ribosomal RNA
Rfam family: Bacterial small subunit ribosomal RNA
Source: RNAcentral
UGGGGAAUUUUGGACAAUGGGGCAACCUGAUCCAGCAAUGCCGCGUGUGUGAAGAAGGCCUUCGGGUUGUAAAGCACUUUUGUCCGGAAAGAAAACGUCGUGGUUAAUACCCGUGGCGGCUGACGGUACCGGAAGAAUAAGCACCGGCUAACUACGUGCCAGCAGCCGCGGUAAUACGUAGGGUGCAAGCGUUAAUCGGAAUUACUGGGCGUAAAGCGUGCGCAGGCGGUCCGCUAAGACAGAUGUGAAAUCCCCGGGCUUAACCUGGGAACUGCAUUUGUGACUGGCGGGCUAGAGUAUGGCAGAGGGGGGUAGAAUUCCACGUGUAGCAGUGAAAUGCGUAGAGAUGUGGAGGAAUACCGAUGGCGAAGGCAGCCCCCUGGGCCAAUACUGACGCUCAUGCACGAAAGCGUGGGGAGCAAAACAGGAUUAGAUACCCUGGUAGUCCACGCCCUAAACGAUGUCAACUAGUUGUCGGGUCUUCAUUGACUUGGUAACGUAGCUAACGCGUGAAGUUGACCGCCUGGGGAGUACGUCGCAAGAUUAAAACUCAAAGGAAUU